AGUGAACGCUGGCGGCAGGCCUAAUACAUGCAAGUCGAACGGCAGCACAUUGGAGCUUGCUCCAUGGGUGGCGAGUGGCGGACGGGUGAGGAAUACAUGGGAAUCUGCCCAGUCGUGGGGGAUAACGUAGGGAAACUUACGCUAAUACCGCAUGCGCCCUUCGGGGGAAAGCCGGGGACCUUCGGGCCUGGCGCGAUUGGAUGAGCCCAUGUUCGAUUAGCUAGUUGGCGGGGUAAAGGCCCACCAAGGCGACGAUCGAUAGCUGGUCUGAGAGGAUGAUCAGCCACACUGGGACUGAGACACGGCCAAGACUCCUACGGGAGGCAGCAGUAGGGAAUAUUGGACAAUGGGCGCAAGCCUGAUCCAGCCAUGCCGCGUGAGUGAAGAAGGCCCUCGGGUUGUAAAGCUCUUUUGUCCGGGAAGAAAAGCAUCGGGCUAAUACCUCGGUGUUCUGACGGUACCGGAAGAAUAAGCACCGGCUAACUUCGUG
Molecule: ribosomal RNA, 490 nt
Filed under: uncultured bacterium
Lineage: Bacteria
Description: partial 16S ribosomal RNA
Rfam family: Bacterial small subunit ribosomal RNA
Source: RNAcentral